RNAcentral lists this microRNA (26 nucleotides) under Gallus gallus (chicken). RNAcentral's name for it is "MIR-768-5p". The record is from RNAcentral. Lineage: Eukaryota; Metazoa; Chordata; Aves; Galliformes; Phasianidae.
GUUGGAGGAUGAAGCCUUUGAGUGAU